UAAUACAGAGGGCUCGAGCGUUAAUCGGAAUCACUGGGCUUAAAGCGUGCGUAGGCGGAUGCAAAGGCACCUUGUGAAAUCCCUCGGCUCAACCGAGGAAUUGCUUGGUGAACCAUGCAUCUUGAGGCAGGUAGGGGUGGCUGGAACGAUAGGUGGAGCGGUGAAAUGCGUAGAUAUCUAUCGGAACGCCAAAGGAGAAGUCAGGCCACUGGGCCUGUCCUGACGCUGAGGCACGAAAGCGUGGGGAGCAAACGGGAUUAGAUACCCCGGUAGUCCACGCCGUAAACGAUGCGCACUAGGUCGGGGAGGCUUUCACGCACUCCCGGCCGAAGCAAAAGUGUUGAGUGCGCCGCCUGGGGAGUACGGUCGCAAGGCUA
Molecule: ribosomal RNA, 377 nt
Filed under: uncultured bacterium
Lineage: Bacteria
Description: bacterial SSU rRNA
Rfam family: Bacterial small subunit ribosomal RNA
Source: RNAcentral